UUUCGAGGCGAGGAGCGAACUUUUGUCGCGGGUUGCGGAUCUCGAGGGCCAACACCACCGAAAGUCCGGCGGUUGUAAUGGGACGGCGUUCGUCAGGGAUAAUGGUGCCCGGUCUCGAUAUGCGAAAGAAUGCGAGCCCGCGUCCGGUUGCAGCAGUCGUUCCUAAAUGUGUCUUUGAAAUGCGUCCCGAGUUGAGGUUCUCUAAAUGCGACUUUAACGACCACCACGAGGAACACGAGCGAGUAGAACGGGGAACGACGACCUGCACGGAUUCGGGCGCGGUCAAUGCCGUCUAGAUGCUCUCGCUAUUACUAUCCGGACCGCCUGGUAUUUUCGUCAUGGCCUACUAAUACACUCCGCAAAUUCUCGCCCUGCCACGGGGGCCGGUGCUCGACGAUGACGUGGUCAAGGAAAUAUGCCGAUCGCGGUUCGUGUCACUGGCCCUGAUGGCCAAUUCCUUUCCCCUUCGUUUUCUUUCGUUUCUCGUUUUACUCCUUGAAAACGAGCCAACUCUAGACGCAUCCUCGUCGCACGCACUUACGCGCGCGUUAAAAACCUUUCGCGAAUCGUCGAUCGUUCCGAGGAAAAUCAAGAUCAUCCAGGAAUUUGAGAUCGUCAUCUUAUCGGAAACGCUUUAGCUGUAUCAACGCCGAAUGUUACUUCACCCUCGAAUGCAUUCGGAUGCAAAUUCUUCUAUUAUACGUUUCUACAUCUUCUCUUUUUGAGCUGAGAAAUAUUUGUAACAGGAUGAUCUCGCGGUUGUUCUUCGGACUCUAGCUCAUCUCUGCCCCUUGAGUAGGCAAUCCUGCCAUCAAGUACUCCCUUAUCCUCUAUGUUCUUAAACUCGUCCUAAUUCUUUGUGUACUUCGUUCAUCACAUGCACAAGAUCUACGGUCCAGUUACGAAUUUCAACAAUUAAUAUUAACUAAACCUAUCGUUCUGGUCGAAAUGACCGAUUUUACAUUUCUUCUUUUAACUCUUAGACCGGAGUCGUGAUAGAUCCCAAGUAACAGGCGAAAACAAAUGUGUUAAUUUAAUUCUAGAUAAACAUUGCAUUAAAUUUUAUUCUUAGCUAGAAUCUUAACAAAUUGUUACUACGAAAUGAAAUACAAAUAUCGUGUUAUAUCGGUGAAA
Non-coding RNA from Megalopta genalis, 1134 nucleotides. NCBI's taxonomy places the organism in Eukaryota, Metazoa, Arthropoda, Insecta, Hymenoptera, Halictidae. The record is from RefSeq and is a predicted model, not a curated record.